GGAGGAGCUAGUUACCCAGGGCGACCAGGAUUCCCGGUACGUGUCGCCAUCUCCGCCAGUCAGAGAACAAUCAGAACAACAAUUUUUUGCAUUUUUACAGCAUGUGAUGUUUUUCACUUCAGGGGCCGAUCGGACCCAAGGGAGACCCCGGACAGCCAGGGAUCCCAGGAGAGGCGGCUAAGGGAAACAAGGGAGAGCCAGGAAUCAUCAGAGAUCGGGACGGGAACGCCAUCUACCUGGGAGGGCUGUCUGGAGCCCCGGGGGUUCCGGGACACCCUGGCCCUGUGGGACCACCAGGUUCGUAUGGUCCUUCUGGUCCAAAGGGGGACAUCGGGUUUCCUGGCAGACCGGGUCGACCAGGACUCAAUGGAGCCAAAGGACCGAAGGGCGACUCUGCGUCUAGUGCUGGCUCAGGAUACCCGGUCAGAACCCCGGAACCCUAAAAUCUGAGCUUUACACGGCUCACAAUACAGCCCGGAAAUCAAUUAGGAUUUAGUCGAUUAGCGAAUUGGAUGCAUAAUUAUCUUCCUUAAUUAAGGCAUUGCUUAAUUGUCCUUAAGUCGUUUUUUUACAGCUUAACACUUAACACAUAAAUGUGCAGAGGUUGGCUGCUUUAGCGUUAGCAAAGCUCUUAGCUAGUUUUCCAUGCAAAGUGUUUAAUUUUGACGAUAACUAACCAGCGUCCGAUCACUUUAAUCAAUGAUACCCGUUCUGUUUGUCUAGGGCCCCCCAGGGCCACCGGGGCCCCCUGGUCAACCGGGAGGCAGCGGCUCCCCGGCCAGAUUCAGUGUGAGUAUCAUUAAGAGAGGACCUAACCGAAGGACACGUGGAUCCGAGUGUGCAGAGCACAGACUAAAGAAUCAACGAGGAACGCAUCAAUACAUGAGGGUUGCAUUCUAAUAACUAAAUAACCCUCAGAUAAAUUACCUGUCUUGUCGUUACAGGGUUAUGACGACUCCUCAAGAUAUCAUUACGGUAAUACCCUUUUUAAAUGUUUUUAUUUUGUACAAUAAUCGUUCUU
This 1021-nucleotide long non-coding RNA is filed under the name Gadus morhua (Atlantic cod). Its description in RNAcentral is "lncRNA (ENSGMOG00000029643.1)". The record is from RNAcentral. Lineage: Eukaryota; Metazoa; Chordata; Actinopteri; Gadiformes; Gadidae.